UGAGAUGGUAGACAGGUAAUGUUAUGAUAAGUAGGCUCUUGAGUUGGGCCAAAAUCAAAACGACCCAAACUGAACGGUGCAAAGUGAAAGAUGAGGCAGAUCUCUUUGCACCCGAUCCCUUCGAGGCCUAGAUCUCUAUGUUUUGCCAUUGAAAGUCCCUCUGAUGAGGCACAGCGCAGAAAAACAAGCGUGUAAGCCAGACAUCAGUCUCAGCAAAGUAAUAAUAUAUAAUUAUCAAAGAUCACAAUGCAAUCUCUCAGGGUGAAACUACCCAAAAGGCAUCUUUACUUGCAUCCUCACCAGCUUCAUUGGUAGUCAGCAAGUGAAACUCGAUCUUAUAGCUCUUAAUAGAUUUCUAUAUAUUGGCAUUGAAAGAAAGGAUUUCACAGGCAUCGUAGCCUGCAGUCUGCUAGAGUCUAUCUUUUCCUAAAGGGAUAAAUUACAGAAAAGUAGUUUUUAAUAAACAGGAACAAAAGAUGUGAGAGUGAUUUGAAAUAUUAGCAAGUUAUUUCAUGUUUUAAUACAUUUUUUAAAUCUAGAUAUAAAAAUAACCUUGGGUAUUUAUAUACGUAGACAUAGUUCUGUCUGACAACAUUAUAGUUAUAAUGUCAGAAAAUCAGGGUUCAAAAGAGGAAAGUCUGAGCAACGCUCAGGAUUUAUUUUCAUCUAUAAAAAAGUUGUUGAAGUCCUGUUCAAUUUUUUUCUAUUUCUUUUUCCAAAGUCAACAUUAUCCUGACUUUUCUGGGUUUUUUUCUUUUUUCUUUUUCUUUUUUUUCCCCAAGUUUGUCCUUAGAUAGCCUCAACAGUAGUGAAAUGAGUCAGAAGAUCCAAUGUUUUCUUUUUUUUUAAAUAACAGUUGUUUCACAACCGUAUCAAAAACAGAAGUCUACUUUCCCUCUGCCUCUAUAAUACUGACGCCUUCAUUGGCAUGAAAAGAAUUGUUGAUAAAAUCACUACGAGUAACCCACCAAAAUCUAUCUGAAAGUUUGUAUGGGAACUGUUAGGUCACGGCCUGCAGUAGCGAUUGAGCACCUGGUGAAGAGGCGUGGCUAGCCCUUGGAGCACAGGUGCAGACAAUUCACCUGUGCAAUGGGACAGAUGCACCCUGGGUAAACCUCCUCCCUCAUUUAAGGGCUGGCAGCGGAGGGGGAAGCAUCUGUUUUUGGAGAUCAUCGUCUCUCUGGAAGUUUUUAGUGAGCCUUUCCUUUGGAAUAAGAUUUGUUGUCUGUCAUGGCAGAAAUACAGUGUUUAUAUCUUGGAAGGAGUAUCAAUUACUAACAAAGAUGGUGAAGAAAGAGCACAAUUGUCCAUGACAAAUUACACCACAAACAGUACCAUAAUCUGGCAUGCUGAAUUCUCAUACUUCAGAGCUCAAAGAGAAGAAGAAUACAUAAAUUCCGGUCUGUGGCCUACGGAUAUUGUAGUCAACACUCUGAUCUCCCUUGCUAAAGGGACCCCCCCAUCAUGUCCCUAUGGCAGAUGAGGACACCCCCUCCGAUGACUGAUGUAGUUGAGCAGCUGCAGAAAUCUGGCCAAAGGGUACGGUACAGGCGGUUGGGGCAUGCCCCUGAACAGACUGUAGUGAUGACCCAAGAUGGAAAUAAAGCCUGUAUCUCACCCUGGAGGGUGGACCUUCUCCUGCUUGUACCCCUCAAACCUGGGUAUUAGUCUCUAUGAGUCUUCAAGCCUCUAGGAUGAUCGGAAGGAACAAAAUACCAUCAUAGCGUUCCUGUGAGAUCUUGUGUGACACCCAGUGAACCGUCUACAUUGGACUGAUGGAGCACAGGAUGGGCCUUAACGUCAAGACGACAUGCCUCCAGUAAUAACAUGAAGCACGGGCUCAUGAAAGAGCAUGAACAUACACUGUAUACUGAUUAUCACUCUUAUUAAAUAGUGUUAUCGUGACGGGCAAUGGUAUAGCGUUGUGGUGUGUCAGAUCUCUAUGUAUUAGGGAAGGCU
This is a long non-coding RNA of Gallus gallus (chicken), 1959 nucleotides long. NCBI's taxonomy places the organism in Eukaryota, Metazoa, Chordata, Aves, Galliformes, Phasianidae. The record is from Ensembl.